Plutella xylostella (diamondback moth) is the source of this 1172-nucleotide long non-coding RNA. RefSeq lists it as uncharacterized. The record is from RefSeq and is a predicted model, not a curated record. Lineage: Eukaryota; Metazoa; Arthropoda; Insecta; Lepidoptera; Plutellidae.
UAAAGCGAUACGAACGAGUUACGAGAUGAAAUCCGCAAUGUUCAAAAACGCGAUUCAUAUCACACAUACUUUGAUCUCGUUUUCAUAUCGCUAGUUCGUAUUUGGAUGGCUUGAGUGAAAUGAAUGAAACUAUAUUUUUUUAAUUGCCAUGCAAAAAUAAUAAAUACUACCACUAAUUGUUUUAAAUAAUUUUGUUCCUACAAUAUAUUUUGUUGGAAUUAGUGACGAUAGCAAGUAUCAAGAAACGGCUUUUUAAUUCAACGUUGAAGAAAUUCAUAACUUGUGGCACUUUUGACAGCCGCCAUGGUUUCUACAUAAAAACAAACAUAACAAACAUUGAUUUUCUUUGCUCAUUUUCGUGUCAACGUAGUUUUUUUGGAAAAUAAGAAGAAAGGAAGUUUAACUAACUUAGAGAAAUACGACUGAGACAUAAUCAUGAACGAGAUGAACACAAGCAGCAGCCGAUGUGCUUGAGUUGCAGAAGGAGCAACUGCGUUGUGAGAGGGCCACGGCUUCAGCCCUCACAAUGAUAGCUGAAGCAAUGAACAGACAGGCUGCAGGCAAUGACAGGCUUCUUGAGCAGGGGCUCCUCAUAUGGAAAAAGGCUAAUGAAAGGAACAAUCAAGACCAGACUUAAAGUAAAGAUUUUAGCGGCGACGCAGUUGCGCGACCAGUGAAGCUCUGGCUCCGCGACCGGCGUGGAGCGCGCGGUCCGAGCGGCGCUGCUGCGGCUGCUGCGCGGGCGGAUCCCGUCCCUGCGCAUGCACCUGGCCUUCAAUGGCCUCACGCCUCUCUUCUUCCUCUUCUUCAUGCGUCAAUUCAAACAGAGGAGCACCUGUGAUUACUGAUUACCUAAGUUCCUAUAUACAAUAAUAGUUUAAUAAUUGUUUACAAAAUAUUGUAUACAUACAUAAGUAUUAAUAAUUAUACAAAAGGCUAAAAGCAUUUUGUACCAGCCAACCUAUAGGAGAGAAUAUGAGAAAAAUAAUAAGACUUUAAUCUUUGAUUGCCAUUAUCUGUAGCUUUAUUAAGUGGUAAAGGGACCUAAUUACUACCUAUAUUUUUUAGUUUUUGUGAUAAUUCAUAGAAUUUAUUAGUUCUAUCAAUAAAUAAAAUAUACAUGCAUUACAAUGUGUUUAAUUCAUUAACUUACAAUUUGCACACUGAGGGAA